Molecule: ribosomal RNA, 720 nt
Filed under: uncultured ciliate
Lineage: Eukaryota; Ciliophora
Description: SSU rRNA
Rfam family: Eukaryotic small subunit ribosomal RNA
Source: RNAcentral
CAACCAUGGCAUUCACGGGCUAUCGGGGGAUUAGGGUUCGAUUCCGGAGAGGGAGCCUGAUAAACGGCUACCACUUCUACGGAAGGCAGCAGGCGCGAAAAUUAUCCAAUCCUGACUCAGGGAGGUAGUGAAAGAAAUAAUGAACUAGGAUUUAUCCUGGGAUCACAAUGGGCUUGAUUUGCAAACACUUUGCGAGGAACAAUUGGAGGGCAAGUCUGGUGCCAGCAGCCGCGGUAAUUCCAGCUCCAAUAGAGUAUAUAAACGUUCCUGCAGUUAUUCGAUGCUCGUAGUUGGAUUUCUGGAGUUGAGACGGGAGGGUGGCUAUGGCCAUCGCCCGACUCUUUCUUCAUCCACCCGUUUGCGAAUCCCGGGAUUGAUUUCUCGGUUUCGGGCGCAGGUAUCUUACUAUUUCAAUAUUUUGUAAUCUUCAUCGAUUAUGUAUGUUUCUUUGAGCAAAUUAUAGUGUUUCAGGCAGGCGUGCGCCGGAAUACAUUAGCAUGGUAUAAACGAAUUGGACCGUGUGCCUGUAACAGGGCUUUUCCUUAUUUGUUGGUUUGAAGGACACGGAGAUGGUUAAUAGGGACAGAAUUUAUUUCAGGGGGAGGCACUAGUAUUUAAUUUCCAGAGGUGAAAUUCUUUGAAAUAUUAAAGACUAACUUAUGCGAAAGCAUUUAUUGCCAAUGAUGUUUUCAUUAAUCAUUGAACGAAAGUUAGGGGAUC